AUUCUUGUAGAUAAUAGAUGUCUGCAUGCUGCAACUUGAUUCUUGUAGUUAACUAGAAAUAAAAUCAUUAAGUUCAAUGAAAGAUAUAGAUAAUAAUAGAUGUCUAACCUCAGGAAGCCUGACAGAAAGGUGUCUUAUAUAAGCAAUGUCCGCUUUCUUUAGUUGGAACCUAGAAGUUUAUUGACACAAAUCCAAAAUUCUUAGAACUUUGAACCUAACAAUGAUCUUAUAGCCUAAAAAUUCAGAACCAUCAUAUCAAAAUCAAAAAGCAGAGUAUGCUUUAUCAAAUAGAAAAUCAAAGAAAAGGAAGCUCACCCAAUGAAGUUAGAUAUCAGAAAGCUUUAUCAAAUAGUGGAUACCAUACAGAAUUACAACAAAUGACAUUUGACCUUCACCACAUUAAACUAAUUCUUUGAAAGCUAUAAGACAAGCUUGUAACUCUUUUUAAAAAAAAUUACAGCCAAGGAACCNNNNNNNCACUUAGUGUUCAAACUUGAAUGAAGCAUAACUAAUAACACUAAUAAGAAAAGAAGCUACUCAUGAGUCAUGUCUACGGGAGUAAUAUUCAGAAGUUUCAGAAUUAAAAAUAAGCAUGAUAAACAAAAAAAAUUAUGAGCUACAUACACUUGAGUACAUGGUUACUUACACAAUAUGAGUGAUAACAGUUCGACACAUCAAAUACGCUUCAAGACCAUCAAACAGCUGAAUGACUACGAUAAAAUGGAGCACCGUCAAAUUGUUUGAGUUACAUAAACUUUGGAAGGUAAGUGUGAGAACUUGAGGGGAAGGGGGCACUGUCUUGCUUUAUUUUCCCUCUACCAUUUUCCAAACCAGGCCAACAACUUUCUCAUCUUACCAAGAAGUCCCUGAAAAAUUAAAGAAAAAU
Molecule: long non-coding RNA, 886 nt
Filed under: Trifolium pratense (red clover)
Lineage: Eukaryota; Viridiplantae; Streptophyta; Magnoliopsida; Fabales; Fabaceae
Description: long non-coding RNA (TPRA_LNC006161)
Source: RNAcentral